GGGGCCAUAGCUCAGGAGGCGAGCGACUCCCUUGCAAGGAGAAGGCCGGGGUGCGACUCCCCGUGGCUCCACCA
RNAcentral lists this transfer RNA (74 nucleotides) under Oscillochloris sp. Its description in RNAcentral is "tRNA-Ala". It matches the Rfam family "tRNA". Rfam says of the family: Transfer RNA (tRNA) molecules are approximately 80 nucleotides in length. Their secondary structure includes four short double-helical elements and three loops (D, anti-codon, and T loops). The record is from RNAcentral. Lineage: Bacteria; Bacillati; Chloroflexota; Chloroflexia; Chloroflexales; Oscillochloridaceae.